CCACCCCCAAGAGGCAUUACAGGUGUGGCUGCUGUGUCACAUGUGCAUCAGUAGGUGGCAGAAAGGAAAGAGGAUAUGUAUAUAUGCUCAGUGUUCUGACCUGUGGACUUCUGAAUGAGGAUGUUAGAGCCUAACAUC
This is a small nucleolar RNA of Mastomys coucha (southern multimammate mouse), 138 nucleotides long. RefSeq annotates it as small nucleolar RNA SNORA17. The transcript has a single exon. The record is from RefSeq and is a predicted model, not a curated record. Lineage: Eukaryota; Metazoa; Chordata; Mammalia; Rodentia; Muridae.